Molecule: long non-coding RNA, 3165 nt
Filed under: Salmo salar (Atlantic salmon)
Lineage: Eukaryota; Metazoa; Chordata; Actinopteri; Salmoniformes; Salmonidae
Description: lncRNA (ENSSSAG00000088764.1)
Rfam family: UnaL2 LINE 3' element (bases 2920-2973)
Source: RNAcentral
GAUAGUGAUGGUAGUGCUCCAGUUUCCCUCUCUCUCCUGGUGGGGGACAGUGCUCCAGUUUCCCUCUCUCUCCUGGUGGAGGAUAGUGAUGAUAGUGCUCCAGUUUCCCUCUCUCUCCUGGUGGAGGAUAGUGAUGAUAUUUCCCUCUCUCUCCUGGUGGAGGAUAGUGAUGAUAGUGCUCCAGUUUCCCUCUCUCUCCCGGUGGAAGAUAGUGAUGAUAGUGCUCCAGUUUCCCUCUCUCUCCUGGUGGAGGAUAGUGAUGAUAGUGCUCCAGUUUCCCUCUCUCUCCUGGUGGAGGAUAGUGAUGAUAGUGCUCCAGUUUCCCUCUCUCUCCUGGUGGAGGAUAGUGAUGAUAGUGCUCCAGUUUCCCUCUCUCUCCUGGUGGAGAAUAGUGCUCCAGUUUCCCUCUCUCUCCUGGUGGAGAAUAGUGCUCCAGUUUCCCUCUAUCUCCUGGUGGAGGAUAGUGAUGAUAGUGCUCCAGUUUCCCUCUCUCUCCUGGUGGAGGAUAGUGAUGAUAGUGCUCCAGUUUCCCUCCCUCUCCUGGUGGAGGAUAAUGAUGAUAGUGCUCCAGUUUCCCUCUCUCUCCUGGUGGAGGAUAAUGAUGAUAGUGCUCCAGUUUCCCUCUCUCUCCUAGCCCUGUGUGUUCAUGAAGCACAGUCAUUUUCACUCAGCUAAGCCUUGAAACGGCCAAUCGAAGCCGAACACUUUGAAACGUUUAAAGAUUCUGACAGUGUGGUAAAGAACUACAACUGGGAAAUGUGAUAGAAAAUAGUGAUUCUGACCAAUUAGAUGUGUCGACGCCUCUGUGAGACAACAUUUCAUCGUCAUCAUCGUCAUCAUCGUCAUCACCACACCACAGUUUGUGCUGUCUUGCCAACUCCACCUAACUCAGGCUAGAAACAGAUCUGUAACUCAGGCUAGAAACAGAUCUGUAACUCAGGCUAGAAACAGAUCUGUAACUCAGGCUAGAAACAGAUCUGUAACUCAGGCUAGAAACAGAUCUGUAACUCAGGCUAGAAACAGAUCUGUAACUCAGGCUAGAAACAGAUCUGUAACUCAGGCUAGAAACAGAUCUGUAACUCAGGCUAGAAACAGAUCUGUAACUCAGGCUAGAAACAGACCUGUAACUCAGGCUAGAAACAGAUCUCUUAGAAGUGGACAGAAUAAGUGUCUCUCCCGCCGUAGAAACAAAAUGAUACAGAUCACGGGGAUCAACAGUGAAGUCCAGAGACUGAUGACACUAACAGGUUCGAAUGACACUGAUACCAACUCCAUUGUGAGUCUGAGGCAGUCCUGUUAUGGUGUUGUGACCAAUAGGCCUUAACCUCACUGUUGAUUUGAGUUGGAUGCUGUGUUCUGUUACUCUGUUCUGUUGCUUUUCUGUCAUUGACUAAGUAAAUGUUUCUCUUAUUAGUCACCCCUUGAAAAAAGCCCUUCUUACGCAACCCUUAUGUACUAUCGACAUAAAUUCUGCACCUGUCAUAUAUAUAUAUCUGUCAUAUAUACAGUUGAAGUCUGAAGUUUACAUACACCUUAGCCAAAUACAUUUAAACUCCGUUUUUCCACAAUUCCUGACAUUUAAUCCAAGUAAAAAUUCCCUGUCUUAGGUCAGUUAUGAUCAUCACUUUAUUUUAAGAAUGUGAAAUGUCAGAAUAAUAGUAGAGAGAAUUAUUUAUUUCAGCUUUUACUCCUUUCAUCACAUUCCUAGUGGGUCAGAAGUUUACAUACACUCAAUUAGAACUUGGUAGCAUUGCCUUAAAAUUGUUUAACUUGGGUCAAAUGUUUCGGGUAGCCUUCCACAAGCUUCCCACAAUAAGUUGGGUGAAUUUUGGCCCAUUCCUCCUGACAGAGCUGGUGUAACUGAGUCAGGUUUGUAGGCCUCCUUUCUUGCACACACUUUUUCAGUUCUGCCCACAAAUUUUCAAUAGGAUUGAGGUCAGGGUUUUGUGAUGGCCACUCCAAUACCUUGACUUUGUUGUCCUUAGGCCAUUUUGCCACAACUUUGGAAGUAUGCUUGGGGUCAUUGUCCAUUUGGAAGACCCAUUUGUGACCAAGCUUUAACUUCCUGACUGAUGUCUUGAGAUCUUGCUUCAAUAUAUCCACAUAAUUUUCCUCCCUCAUGAUGCCAUCUAUUUUGUGAAGUGUGAAAAACUGAGUUUAAAUGUAUUUGGCUAAGGUGUAUGUAAACCUCCGAUUUCAACUGUAUCUAACUCUGCACCCUCUGCUCUUUGUGUCGAUCCGUUUCUGUGUAUUUCCACGUGUGUGUUUUUUGGUCCAUCUCUGUCCUCCUUGAACCACGCUCGGUUUUGGAACAGAGACUGUUUUCAUGAUCCGUUACAAUGCUUUGAACCCACACAUGACCUCUGAACCCACACAUGGCUCUUUUCAUGGAUAACAGACCCUGUCGCCAUAAUUUUGACAGUAUUACAUAACUUGUUUGUGUUAGCAAUUGUUUAAUCCCUAUCGGUUUACAAAAAAAAAAACAUUGCAAUCGUUUGAGCCAUAGUCCCUGUUUCCUUUAAGUCUUCCUGGUCCAAUUAAAUUAGACAAAGUAGAAAAUGAUUGAUAUUGAUUUGCUGACGGUGUCACUGCAGUAACUUUUGAAAUGUGGUCAACUUCAUCGGUCUUGCCAGUCUGUGGGGUACAGUGGGUAAAUGUGGUAGUCAGUCAGCAGGUGGCAGUGUUGCCCUACACAUCCAGACACUCAAUGAUGACCUGUGGAUGGCAUCCAGUCUGGUGUGUAGUUGUGUUGUGUUGUGGCUCUGCUAUAGCCUGUUCUCAGAUCUGCGUGUGUUAUCUAUAGCCAACUCUAUAGCCAACUUUUCUAUGGUCAUUAUCAUGCCUGUAUUCAGAAAGCAUCUCAGAGUACAGUAAAAAAAAAAAAAAGAAAAUGUAUGAAAUGAAAUUGUAUGAAAUGUAUGUAUUCACUACUGUAAGUCGCUCUGGAUAAGAGCGUCUGCUAAAUGACUAAAAAAAAUAUUUACAAAAAAAAAUGUACAAAAUGUACAAGUGCUGAUCUAGGAUCACGUCCCCACCCCGUCCAUAUAAUCUUAUUCAUUAUGAUCUUAAAAGGCAAAGCUGAUCCUAUAUCAGCCCUCUUACUCUGAGAUUUCGUGGAUAUAGGCCCUGGUCUUAUCUUAAGCUGCUUGAGCUGCAGGCCUGACA